Molecule: long non-coding RNA, 206 nt
Organism: Neopelma chrysocephalum (saffron-crested tyrant-manakin)
Lineage: Eukaryota; Metazoa; Chordata; Aves; Passeriformes; Pipridae
Exons: 3
Source: RefSeq, a predicted model, not a curated record
GCGCUCCCUGUUCGCUCGGAGGAACCAGGACGCGGAGCAGUGGAGGAAGGAGCAGCUCCUGAGCCUGCUGGGGACAGCGGGGGACAUGCUGAGCCCUGCCACCUCUGACAGCAUGGCCUGUGAGUACCUGUCCCUGGAGGUGAUGGAGCGCUGGAUCAUCCUGGGGUUCCUGGUGUGCCCUCCCCGUUUCAGGGGUGCCCCCUGCC